This 85-nucleotide transfer RNA is filed under the name Nocardioides eburneiflavus. RNAcentral describes it as "Nocardioides sp. MMS17-SY213 tRNA-Leu". It matches the Rfam family "tRNA". Rfam says of the family: Transfer RNA (tRNA) molecules are approximately 80 nucleotides in length. Their secondary structure includes four short double-helical elements and three loops (D, anti-codon, and T loops). The record is from RNAcentral. Lineage: Bacteria; Bacillati; Actinomycetota; Actinomycetes; Propionibacteriales; Nocardioidaceae.
GCCGGAGUGGUGGAACAGGCAGACACGCACGGUUUAGGUCCGUGUGCCUUCGGGCGUGCGGGUUCGACUCCCGCCUUCGGCACCA